UACGAAGGGGGCUAGCGUUGUUCGGAAUCACUGGGCGUAAAGCGUACGUAGGCGGAUUGCUAAGUCAGGGGUGAAAUCCCGAGGCUCAACCUCGGAACUGCCUUUGAUACUGGCUGUCUUGAGUUCGGGAGAGGUGAGUGGAACUCCUAGUGUAGAGGUGAAAUUCGUAGAUAUUAGGAAGAACACCAGUGGCGAAGGCGGCUCACUGGCCCAUUACUGACGCUGAGGAGCGAAAAGUGUGGGGAGCGGAACAGG
This 255-nucleotide ribosomal RNA is filed under the name uncultured bacterium. RNAcentral describes it as "partial 16S ribosomal RNA". It matches the Rfam family "Bacterial small subunit ribosomal RNA", at positions 524 to 776 of the family's 1533-position model. The record is from RNAcentral.